CCGUUUAAGCGGCCUACACGUGGGGCACUACCUGUUCGUUCCUUCGCUGGGUUUUCCCCCUGCCCACCCACCCUUGGUUUGAGCUAGUAGUCAAUGACUUUGCUGUGGCUACGGUGAUCGCUGUUCUGGAUGGGGCCAGGUAGGAAUUUGCCCACCGGGCUAACUGGCACUGUCCUGGUGGUUUUGCCUACCUCAUAGCAAUUGUCACAAGUGGUUGGCAUUGGGUCAAUCUUUUGUUUUGGACGGAGGGGAGGUUGUAGUCCCCACCUGCCCCUCCAAACGCUGGGGUAUCCCAUUAAAGGGAUCAGGGGGGAGUGGCCAUGUCCGUGUGCCCAGGGGGCCCAGGGCUGAAGGCACUCCCCCAGAUGGCGGUCCCUGGGGGGGGGUCACCCUAUAUGCUGUAAGUGUUAGGAACCCCCAUCUGGAUUGACAACGCGUCAUUUCCAGCGGGCGGGCCGGAAGUGUUUAGAUUGCCCCAUGCCCAAACCAAAUCAAGAUUGCCCCAUGCCAAGCCAAUAAAGUUGUGGCCUGUUUUGACCCCAAACCAGUCUUGUUGGUCUCUUAUUUAUAUGGGUUGGGGUUUAGGGAGCCUUACGCCUGGUCUCACAAGUGAAUUAUGGCAGGCACCUACACUUUGGUUACUCCAGAAACCACUGAAGCCAUUUCCCUUUUGCCAAGCUUUUCCAACUGCGUGGAAAAGUUUCUGCCUUAAGUUUUCAACCUGCAUUAUUUUCCAAACCUUGUUUUUAGUUGUCUUUUUUUUUGUACCUGCUUUUAAAGCUAUUUUCAGUUUCUUUUAUGGAAACCGCCUUGGAAAGCUAUUCAUUAAUAACAAUAACAAUAAUCUCUAAAGAUGGACACCCCGAUAAAUCCAUUACGUCAGAGUCUAAGACCACUGUACCAUUAAACACACUUACCUGGGAGGAAUCAUAGAAUUGUGGAGUUGGAAGGGACAGUGAGGAUCAUCUAGUCCAACCCCAGGAAUAUGCAGCUGUCCCAAUUGGGGAUCGAACCUGCAACUUUGGCGUUGUCAGCACCACGCUCUAGCCAACUGAGCUAUCCAAGCCCCACCAAAUUCAGCAAGGGCAAUGACGUAAAAGAAACAAUGAGAGACUAAUGAAAUCCUGGCCUUUUACCCUGUGCUACGAGACUGGAUGGCUAGAUGGAGCGUGUGCGUUUUUUCCUGUUUGAAUCUGUACGACGAUUUGAGAGAAAGACAAGUUAACCAUACAGAUAUUGGUCACAUGCGAUGUAUAGUUGAACUGUGGAAUCCCUUUCCAUGAGAGCCAGCAAUGGCUACCGACUUUGGGGUGGCUUCGAAAGAGGAUUAGACAAAUUUGCGGAGGAGCAACCUAGCCGUGGCUACUAGCCGUGAUGACAAUAGUCUCCCUCCACUGUCUGUAGCAAUGAAGCCUCUGAAUACCAGUUGGCGAGGAUCACAGACUGUGCUAGAUGCUGCACAGAACCUAGAACAGAUGUCACCCCUACGUAGAAGGACUUAAAGGAAGAUGGAAGUUACUUUAGGCAUGAAAAACCGCAGAGAGACAGAAAGGGGUAAACAGAGACUAAGGAGGUUAUUCUCAGACGGAGGCUCUGCGUCAUCUUACCAAUUAACAGCUUGGGACUAGUUUACUUGAGCGAUCGAGCUUGCACUUUCACAAGUGCCAAAUAAUCUGCAUUCCGUACUUAUGAUAAAGCAAUCUCUAAGUGUGUAGCACCUGCAGUUUUACAGUUUCAGCACCAGCAAGUCCAUCCCAACACGUAGGAGGGAAAGCCUCUACAACAGAAGAGCAUACAUAGAGAUGGUUCCAUAUUCCCAUCCUACUGAAAGCAGGCCCAUUUAAGUCAAUGGGACUACUCUGAGUAU
Long non-coding RNA from Podarcis muralis (Common wall lizard), 1867 nucleotides. RefSeq lists it as uncharacterized. The record is from RefSeq and is a predicted model, not a curated record. Lineage: Eukaryota; Metazoa; Chordata; Lepidosauria; Squamata; Lacertidae.